This 256-nucleotide ribosomal RNA is filed under the name uncultured bacterium. Its description in RNAcentral is "partial 16S ribosomal RNA". It matches the Rfam family "Bacterial small subunit ribosomal RNA", at positions 524 to 778 of the family's 1533-position model. The record is from RNAcentral.
UACAGAGGUCUCAAGCGUUGUUCGGAUUCAUUGGGCGUAAAGGGUGCGUAGGUGGCGCCGUAAGUCGGGUGUGAAAUUUCGGAGCUUAACUCCGAAACUGCAUUCGAUACUGCGGUGCUUGAGGACUGGAGAGGAGACUGGAAUUCAUGGUGUAGCAGUGAAAUGCGUAGAGAUCAUGAGGAAGACCAGUGGCGAAGGCGGGUCUCUGGACAGUUCCUGACACUGAGGCACGAAGGCCAGGGGGAGCAAAACGGGG